CCAUUCUUUCGCUCCAGAUCCGCCACCCACCCCAAUCCCUCUCCCCCAUCCAGAUCGACAACGACGGCCCCCCGUCGCCGCCCACUCCUUCCCAUCCCGCCGCGGCGAGGAGAUCCAUUCCCGCCGCCGCCGUCGCCCCGCCCCCUUCUCCCCGAUUCAGACCACAUCCUCCCACCAUAGCUCGCCGCCGGGCCUCCUCCUUCCCUUCUCGCAGAUCCAGAGCUGUGAGAUCCGUCUCUCUCCGACCUCGAGGUCGACUGGGAGGGGCGCAAUCCAGGAGCAGCGGGCUACACGCUGGCGGAGAGCGGCCAGCAGCUGCUGCAGGGAGGGGGCUGCUUCUCCCCGGUGUCGGAGCUCGUCGGGCGGGCAGAGGCCGCCGCGUCGGCGGCCGCCUCGGAGAUCUCCGAGACGUACUCCGCCGUCGCCAACGCGCUCAGCUCCGUCGUCGCGGCCGUGGUGCGCGCGCCGCCCAAGGACUUCCGCGUCAUCAGGCAGGAGUGGGCGGCCAUCCGCAUCCAGACCACCUUCCGCGGCUUCCUGAUUCCAUUUGACUUUUGUUGUUACCGCUACAGUUUGUUGUUGGAUGAUGUGUUGGAGCAGCAGCGAGCAAUAGACCUUUUCUCGCAGAAGGUGAAGAGGUCGUCGUUCAGCACGUCAGAUAGGGUUCUCCAGCUGUCGGACUAGGUGGAGGCACUCUUCCUGAAGCACUUCGCGCUCCUCGACCUCGACCUCGAGCUGGCACAGGGGCGAGCUGGCGCAGAUGACGGCGACUGUGCUCCUCGACCUCGAGCUCCGCCCCCGUCCGCCCACGCUCCUCGACCUCGAGCUCUGCCCUCGCCCGCCCGGGCCGCUGGUACUUCCCCUGCCCCCCCUCUCGCCGUGCUGUUCGAUGCAAUCUGUGCCAUACCACUGUAUGAACCGGCUGUUGCUUAUCCCAUCGCUGUUGCGUUGCCGUCGAGUUAGCGUCUCAUGCCACUUCUGUAGCUAUUUGCUGCCUCACGAUUUUGCAAGAGCAGCCCACUUUCCUGUAGUGAGUGAAACAAAGCCAUGUACCUUACCAAAGCUAGGCGGUUAUGUUUGUGUCUAGCUUUCUCAGUAUAUAUACUUGCUAGUAUUUUUGUGUCUAGUUUUCUCAGUCCGAUUGCCGGCAUGCAAAAGAUGGAUGCACAUGUACAUACAUACCAAAGUAGACCAUCUAUAUAGUCUCUAGCCAUGUUGAUAAUAUAUUUUUUAAGAAAGAAAUCAACUCAGAUUAUAUAUGUACAAUUAUUAUGCACAUACGUAUGGUGACUGCUGAUUGAUUAUUUUUGUUUUCCUUUGAAUCCCAUUUUUAUUGACUAGCAGCACUCACACUAAGUAUUACAAAUCCGCCGUGCAUACAAUCCAAUCAUAUCAAAUGUAGUUGAUUUGUAUAUCCUGUAAAUAAUUUCUUUGCACGCCCAUUCUGCCAUGUCAAUGAUGAUGAUUUAAUUAUGAUUUCUGCCAAUGGAUGGAUUCACAUGAUUUAUGGAGAGAUAUAGGGAGCAAAAGGACUUGCAUAUGGUGUUGACUGACUUGGAGAAGGCCUAUGAUAAGAUACCACGGAAUGUCAUGUGGUGGGCCUUGGAGAAACACAAAGUUCCAGCAAAGUACAUUACCCUCAUCAAGGACGUGUAUGAUAAUGUUGUGACAAGUGUUCGAACAAGCGAUGUCGACACCAAUGACUUCCCGAUUAAGAUAGGACUGCAUUAGGGGUCAGCUUUGAGCCCUUAUCUUUUUGCAUUGGUGAUGGAUGAGGUCACAAGGGAUAUACAAGGAGAUAUCCCAUGGUGUAUGCUCUUUGCGGAUGAUGUGGUGCUAGUUGACGAUAGUUGGGCGGGGGUAAAUAGGAAGUUAGAGUUAUGGAGACAAACCUUGGAAUCGAAAGGGUUUAGGCUUAGUAGAACUAAAACCGAGUACAUGAUGUGCGGUUUCAGUACUACUAGGUGUGAGGAGGAGGAGGUCAGCCUUGAUGGCCAGGUGGUACCUCAGAAGGACACCUUUCGGUAUUUGGGGUCAAUGUUGCAGGAGGAUGGGGGUAUUGAUGAAGAUGUGAACCAUCGAAUCAAAGUCGGAUGGAUGAAGUGGCGCCAAGCUUCUGGCAUUCUCUGUGACAAGAGAGUGCCCCAAAAGCUAAAAGGCACGUUCUACAGGACGGCGGUUCGACCCGCAAUGCAGAGUGUUGGCCGAUUAAAAGGCGACAUGUUCAACAUUUAGGUGUGGCGGAGAUGCGUAUGUUGAGAUGGAUGUGUGGCCACACGAGGAAGUAUCGAGUCCGGAAUGAUGAUAUACGAGAUAGAGUUGGGGUAGCACCAAUUGAGGAGAAGCUUGUCCAACAUCGUCUGAGAUGGUUUGGGCAUAUUCAGCGCAGGCCUCCAGAAGCUCCAGUGCAUAGCGGACGGCUAAAGCGUGCGGAGAAUGUCAAGAGAGGGCGGGGUCGACCGAAUUUGACAUGGGAGGAGUCCGUUAAGAGAGACCUGAAGGAUUGGAGUAUCGACAAAGAGCUAGCUAUGGACAGGGGUGCGUGGAAGCUUGCUAUCCAUGUGCCAGAGCCAUGAUUUGGUUGCGAGGUCUUUUGGGUUUCACCUCUAGCCUACCCCAACUUCUUUGGGACUAAAGGCUUUGUUGUUGUUGUUGUUGUUGAUGGAUUCACAUGAUGCGACGGACCUGCUGUCGGCUGUCUUCCCCGACCACUUAUGUGAGCUGCUCCUGCCGCUGACCCUCCUCAACUUCGCCCUUUGCUCGCUGUUGCUCCUGGUGCCACCGGAUGCAAGGGUGGAGCUUGCGCCUCUUUCUCUACACCAGUUUAUGUUGCUUCCGUUGCUGCGAAUGUGGUUAAGAUGGGGUUCUACACCAGCUUCUUAUGUUGCAUGUGAAUGGGGUGAGUAGAUAGAAUUGAAAUGAGCUAAGCAUUGGUUGAUUCGCCAAGUGAAGAUAGCAUGGACCCUGGGGCGGCAUCCGCGUCCUGGGGUUUGCAGCUCAGCGUGGUGCUGCUGACAAGGAAAUUCACCUGUGCGGCGGCGGUGGGGAAGGAGCAGCACCGACAGUCCUGACACCGACAGUCCUGACAGAGAAAGCCAUGUUGCCGUUUUGUUUGUUCCCAGCCUUGACUAUGGUUGUCCAGCGAGUCCGGUAUGUCGUCAUUUUUUGUAAAGCAGUAUUGUAUCACACUUGUAGAGCUCGUUACACAUGUAGAUCUUGUAAAGUACUGUAUUACACAUGGUCAUAUGUAUUGGCAACGUGAUCUGGU
This 3268-nucleotide ribosomal RNA is filed under the name Triticum aestivum (bread wheat). Its description in RNAcentral is "partial small subunit ribosomal RNA". Lineage: Eukaryota; Viridiplantae; Streptophyta; Magnoliopsida; Poales; Poaceae. The record is from RNAcentral.